GAUCACUGCCUGAGCAAUCAGGCGAUGGUUCUAGUGGCGCACGGGUGAGUAACACGUGGGCAACCUGCCCUGGAGCCUGGGAUACCCUCUCGAAAGGGAGGCUAAUACCGGAUACGUUCCUCGGGUCGCGAGAUCUGGGGAGGAAAGGUGGCGCAAGCUGCCGCUCUUGGAGGGGCUCGCGGCCUAUCAGCUAGUUGGUGAGGUAAUGGCUCACCAAGGCUAUGACGGGUAGCUGGUCUGAGAGGACGACCAGCCACACGGGGACUGAGACACGGCCCCGACUCCUACGGGAGGCAGCAGUGGGGAAUUUUCCGCAAUGGGCGAAAGCCUGACGGAGUGACGCCGCGUGGGGGACGAAGGCCUUCGGG
RNAcentral lists this ribosomal RNA (368 nucleotides) under uncultured bacterium. RNAcentral describes it as "bacterial SSU rRNA". It matches the Rfam family "Bacterial small subunit ribosomal RNA", at positions 69 to 422 of the family's 1533-position model. The record is from RNAcentral.